Molecule: ribosomal RNA, 822 nt
Filed under: uncultured Donghicola sp.
Lineage: Bacteria; Pseudomonadati; Pseudomonadota; Alphaproteobacteria; Rhodobacterales; Roseobacteraceae
Description: bacterial SSU rRNA
Rfam family: Bacterial small subunit ribosomal RNA
Source: RNAcentral
AGAGUUUGAUCCUGGCUCAGAACGAACGCUGGCGGCAGGCCUAACACAUGCAAGUCGAGCGAGACCUUCGGGUCUAGCGGCGGACGGGUUAGUAACGCGUGGGAACGUGCCCUUUACUACGGAAUAGUCCCGGGAAACUGGGUUUAAUACCGUAUACGCCCUUCGGGGGAAAGAUUUAUCGGUAAAGGAUCGGCCCGCGUUAGAUUAGAUAGUUGGUGGGGUAAUGGCCUACCAAGUCUACGAUCUAUAGCUGGUUUGAGAGGAUGAUCAGCAACACUGGGACUGAGACACGGCCCAGACUCCUACGGGAGGCAGCAGUGGGGAAUCUUGGACAAUGGGCGCAAGCCUGAUCCAGCCAUGCCGCGUGAGUGACGAAGGCCUUAGGGUCGUAAAGCUCUUUCGCCAGGGAUGAUAAUGACAGUACCUGGUAAAGAAACCCCGGCUAACUCCGUGCCAGCAGCCGCGGUAAUACGGAGGGGGUUAGCGUUGUUCGGAAUUACUGGGCGUAAAGCGCACGUAGGCGGACUGGAAAGUUGGGGGUGAAAUCCCGGGGCUCAACCUCGGAACUGCCUCCAAAACUACUAGUCUAGAGUUCGAGAGAGGUGAGUGGAAUUCCGAGUGUAGAGGUGAAAUUCGUAGAUAUUCGGAGGAACACCAGUGGCGAAGGCGGCUCACUGGCUCGAUACUGACGCUGAGGUGCGAAAGUGUGGGGAGCAAACAGGAUUAGAUACCCUGGUAGUCCACACCGUAAACGAUGAAUGCCAGUCGUCAGCAAGCAUGCUUGUUGGUGACACACCUAACGGAUUAAGCAUUCCCGCCUGG